Molecule: ribosomal RNA, 385 nt
Filed under: uncultured Pseudomonas sp.
Lineage: Bacteria; Pseudomonadati; Pseudomonadota; Gammaproteobacteria; Pseudomonadales; Pseudomonadaceae
Description: bacterial SSU rRNA
Rfam family: Bacterial small subunit ribosomal RNA
Source: RNAcentral
UGAAGGAUGACUGCCCUAUGGGUUGUAAACUUCUUUUAUAUGGGAAUAAAGUCGGGCAUGUGUACCCUUUUGCAUGUACCUUAUGAAUAAGGAUCGGCUAACUCCGUGCCAGCAGCCGCGGUAAUACGGAGGAUCCGAGCGUUAUCCGGAUUUAUUGGGUUUAAAGGGAGCGUAGGUGGAUUGUUAAGUCAGUUGUGAAAGUUUGCGGCUCAACCGUAAAAUUGCAGUUGAUACUGGCUGUCUUGAGUGCAGUAGAGGUAGGCGGAAUUCGUGGUGUAGCGGUGAAAUGCUUAGAUAUCACGAAGAACUCCGAUUGCGAAGGCAGCCUGCUGGACUGCAACUGACACUGAUGCUCGAAAGUGUGGGUAUCAAACAGGAUUAGAUA